CCGAGAUCUGUGAACCCCGCCCGCCCCCCCGUGGGGCCUGCCACAACCCAGGCCCUCCUCCCUUUGCGGGCUGGUAGAGCAGGGCUGACCUCGCAGUUCACACUUUCCCUUUUGCUUUGCGUACAGCCAGGCGGGACGGACAGAAAGGCCUGGAACACACUGAGAAUGUCAAAUAAGGAACACUUAGCCGGUGGCAGGGUUUGAACCCGAAGUGUCGCAGACCGUGGUGUGAUGGGGACGGCCAAAGUCCAGCGUUAGGCCCCUUGUAUUUCUACCACCUCUCCCGGUACCCACUUGGUAUGUGAAGAUGUCGUUCUGCUUGAAGCAUAAACAGUGAAAACUGGGAAGUCCUUGGUCCUGACUUAGCAAGCACCAGGCCCACGGUGUGUCACUUGAGAGGGACUAUGCCUUUUCACGGGGACAGAAAAGAGAGUCAAAGAAUUUUGAAAGAAAUGUUUGGCAGAGUUCAAUUUUUAUUGGAAAUUAAACUGACGCUGCUUCAAUUUUCCGAGGAUUUUUAUUUCACGGACAGUGUAUCACUGAGUGCCCUGGACUGGCAUGAUUGUCAAAAGAAGGUCAGCUGUUGCUCCCAUAAGGGAGAGAGCAGGGCAAAGGGCAGAAGGAAAGAAGAAUGUCAAGCAGACUCCCUGCUGAGCACACAGCCUGAUGUGGAGCUCAAUCCCAUGCCCCCAGGAUCAUGACUCGAGGAAAAAUCAAGAGUCAGUCACUCAACAGACUGAGCGACCCAGGCGCAUGACAUGAUUGAUGAGAAGGACACUUCACCUCUAUUGGUGGCCUUUCCCAAAGCUCCUAAACCCAAAUCAAACCUGAGCAAAAAACAUCAGAAAUCCAGAUUGAAGGGCAUGCUAUCACAUUCCACAGGAUAUCUGGCUGAGGACGUGAAAAAAAGCAAGAACUUAGAAACGGUAAAACAGACCAGCAGAUACCGGGGUGCCCUGGACUGGAUCCUGAAACAGAAAGUGGAGGUUACUGGAAAAAGUGGUGAAAUCCGAAUAAAGUCUGGAUUUUAAUUAAUAGUAAUACGCUGGGGCGCCUGGGUGGUUCAGUGGACUAAAGCCUUUGCCUUCGGCUCAGGUCAUGAUCCCAGGGUCCUGGGAUUGAGCCCGGCAUUGUGCUCUCUGUUCAGCAGGGAACCUGCUUCCCCCCCACCUCUCUCUGCCUGCCUCUCUGCCUAUUUGUGAUCUCUG
RNAcentral lists this long non-coding RNA (1208 nucleotides) under Mustela putorius furo (domestic ferret). RNAcentral's name for it is "lncRNA (ENSMPUG00000025528.1)". Lineage: Eukaryota; Metazoa; Chordata; Mammalia; Carnivora; Mustelidae. The record is from RNAcentral.